CCCAGUAGCGGCGAGCGAACGGGGAGGAGCCCAGAGCCUGAAUCAGCAUGUGUGUUAGUGGAAGCGUCUGGAAAGGCGCGCGAUACAGGGUGACAGCCCCGUACACAAAAGCGCAUGUGCUGUGAGCUCGAUGAGUAGGGCGGGACACGUGGUAUCCUGUCUGAAUAUGGGGGGACCAUCCUCCAAGGCUAAAUACUCCUGACUGACCGAUAGUGAACCAGUACCGUGAGGGAAAGGCGAAAAGAACCCCGGCGAGGGGAGUGAAAAAGAACCUGAAACCGUGUACGUACAAGCAGUGGGAGCACAGGUUUACCUGUGUGACUGCGUACCUUUUGUAUAAUGGGUCAGCGACUUAUAUUCUGUAGCAAGGUUAACCGUAUAGGGGAGCCGGAGGGAAACCGAGUCUUAACCGGGCGUUAAGUUGCAGGGUAUAGACCCGAAACCCGGUGAUCUAGCCAUGGGCAGGUUGAAGGUUGGGUAACACUAACUGGAGGACCGAACCGACUAAUGUUGAAAAAUUAGCGGAUGACCUGUGGCUGGGGGUGAAAGGCCAAUCAAACCGGGAGAUAGCUGGUUCUCCCCGAAAGCUAUUUAGGUAGCGCCUCGUGAACUCAUCUCCGGGGGUAGAGCACUGUUUCGGCUAGGGGGCCAUCCCGGCUUACCAACCCGAUGCAAACUGCGAAUACCGGAGAAUGUUAUCACGGGAGACACACGGCGGGUGCUAACGUCCGUCGUGAAGAGGGAAACAACCCAGACCGCCAGCUAAGGUCCCAAAGUCAUGGUUAAGUGGGAAACGAUGUGGGAAGGC
This 808-nucleotide ribosomal RNA is filed under the name Salmonella enterica subsp. enterica serovar Richmond. Its description in RNAcentral is "partial 23S ribosomal RNA". It matches the Rfam family "Bacterial large subunit ribosomal RNA", at positions 239 to 1084 of the family's 2925-position model. Lineage: Bacteria; Pseudomonadati; Pseudomonadota; Gammaproteobacteria; Enterobacterales; Enterobacteriaceae. The record is from RNAcentral.